UACAGAGGGUGCGAGCGUUGUUCGGAAUUACUGGGCGUAAAGCGCGCGCAGGCGGCCUUUUAAGUCUGACGGUGAAAUGCCGGGGCUCAACCCCGUGCCCGCCGGAGAUACUGGGAGGCUGGAGACGAGUAGAGGCAAGCGGAAUUCCGGGUGUAGCGGUGGAAUGCGUAGAGAUCCGGAAGAACACCGGUGGCGAAGGCGGCCUGCUGGGCAGUUUUGCUGACACUGAGGCGCGACAGCGUGGGGAGCAAACAGG
This 256-nucleotide ribosomal RNA is filed under the name uncultured bacterium. RNAcentral's name for it is "partial 16S ribosomal RNA". It matches the Rfam family "Bacterial small subunit ribosomal RNA", at positions 524 to 776 of the family's 1533-position model. The record is from RNAcentral.